RNAcentral lists this long non-coding RNA (1072 nucleotides) under Monodelphis domestica (gray short-tailed opossum). RNAcentral's name for it is "lncRNA (ENSMODG00000038539.1)". The record is from RNAcentral. Lineage: Eukaryota; Metazoa; Chordata; Mammalia; Didelphimorphia; Didelphidae.
AUGAGAUGUUCCUCAUCUCUACCCAUCCCUGGUGCCUGCUGCUUUCAAAGGCCCCUCCUAGCUCCAUAUUUCCAAACAGUAUCUAGGUUUCCUAAAAGUGCCCUCCUCUACCUCUUCCUCUUCUCUUCUUCCUCUUCUCUUCCUCUUCCUCCUCUUCUCUUCUUCCUCUUCUCGUCUCUUCCUCUUCUCUUCUUUCUCCUCUUCCUCUUCUCUUCUUUUUCUUCCUCCUCUUCCUCUCCCCCCUCCCCCAUCUCACAGCCUUCUCCAGACUCCCAGCCUCACUGGGGGGCCCUGGGAUGCUCUGCAGUGACUGGGUACCUCCUCACAGGCACAAUUUCUGCUUUGUGUACACAGCAGUGAGGCCUCUCCCUGGCCUGCUGCCCAGGUUGCUGUGGGGCCGUGGAUGAAGAGAAGGGCUCAGCUGCUGCCCCCAUCUUCCCUUGUUUGUCUGGCAGGAGUCCGUGUCACUGCUACAAAGAGUCCUGUGGGGUUAUGGGAGGUGAAGGACCGAGGAAAAUGUCAGGGAUAAGUUCAUUCCUUGGCCCUUUCAGAGCAGCCUCACACUCUUCUGUACCCCCUUUCACAGGGCCAGAGACCCGAAAGGACCCUUUAGUGGUCAUCUAAUGCAACCUGGCCAUUUUACAAAUGAAGAAACUGAGGCUCGGUGACUUACUGAAAACCACUGGGAGAAGGAGCAAACCUGACCCUCAAACUCAGAACCUCUGAAUGUAAUUCUAGUCCUUCAUCCCUGUGUAUCUUUCAGCUGAUUAAUGAUGCUAUAGUAAUAGUGAUGAUGAUGAUAACACUGGCCUUCAUCUAGCACUUUUAGAUGUAUUGGCUCAUCAGAGCCUCACAAGUACAUGGUAGGGUAGCUGGUAUACACAUGAGUUUCCCACUUUGACAGAUGGGGAAACUGAGGCUCUAGGAAUGAAAGUCAGGGAUUUGCCUCUAUUAUAAUUAUUGUAGAUUUAUUAUAGAUUUAUUAGGGUAAAUGAAGUAAUUAUAUGUCUCUCUGAUCCUGGAUCUAUUCUCUACCCACAUACUACACUGUCUGUCAGUAUGAGUAAGAUAA